Oryza brachyantha (malo sina) is the source of this 856-nucleotide RNA transcript. RefSeq lists it as uncharacterized. Lineage: Eukaryota; Viridiplantae; Streptophyta; Magnoliopsida; Poales; Poaceae. The record is from RefSeq and is a predicted model, not a curated record. The transcript is spliced from 3 exons.
CUCCAAGCUGUUUCCAUUGGUAAUUCAUAGUACCAUAAUAGGAAAACAACAAAUACAAGUUCCAAGUCUUUGUUGUGGAACCGAUAUUUACCAGUGAAUUUUGUAUUUUCAGUUAAAUCUCCAAUAAAUGUUAAAUUUGGAGGCUAGGACUCAAGGAAGAAAUUAGAUCGAUGAAGCUUGAUCAUAUAACAAGAGUUCUGGAGGAGUUAAAUUGUACUCCUUCCUCGGAGGAACCAGACUCAUUCAUAUUGGAUUAUUGGCACGACAAUUCUUGAGAAGCAGAUUGUUCAUGGAGCUUUGUGUAAGCUUUGGAAGGACGACUACAUAGAUACAGAGCCCAAGACAGGAGGGAAUCUGCGAAUGCUGCAGGUUAGUCGCGCCGUUCCCAGUUCUGAAGGAACUGGACGGCAUGGUACAGUUCAGAGCCCUUUUCAGUUUUCAGGGGCAUGUAAAUGUAACAAGGUGAUCUUUCCAAUUCUCCCGUCGCUGUGGACCUGUGGUGUUUUCAUCAGACUGUGUGUAAAUAGGACUUCUUGGACUACUUCCUGGAGCGAUCCUUCUCAUGAUCAUGUGACAUUCACAUGACCAGAGCCCAGAGAGGUUGAUGCUAUUGUAAUUUUCCUCCCUGUUCACAUGGGUAUGAUGAGGUCGAUGUAACCAACUUCCCAGCCACUACUCCAAGUUGGGUGAAACCAGACAAGGUUAGAUUUAUCAGAAUUGACCGUAUUCUGAGAAAUCCACGAACAAUUGACGUGUUUUCAACUACAUAGUACAGUACUUUGUAUCUGCAGUGACAGAAAGUUCUAGAUGAAACUGUAGGUUCAGUAUUGCUACCCAAACCCAGUUGAUAAUCUGA